UGCAGCCAUGCCGCGUGUGUGAAGAAGGCCUUCGGGUUGUAAAGCACUUUCAGCAGUGAGGAAGGCGGGUACGUUAAUAGCGUGUUCGUUUGACGUUAGCUGCAGAAGAAGCACCGGCUAACUCCGUGCCAGCAGCCGCGGUAAUACGGAGGGUGCGAGCGUUAAUCGGAAUUACUGGGCGUAAAGCGCAUGCAGGUGGUUCGUUAAGUCAGAUGUGAAAGCCCGGGGCUCAACCUCGGAACUGCAUUUGAAACUGGCGGACUAGAGUACUGUAGAGGGGGGUAGAAUUUCAGGUGUAGCGGUGAAAUGCGUAGAGAUCUGAAGGAAUACCGGUGGCGAAGGCGGCCCCCUGGACAGAUACUGACACUCAGAUGCGAAAGCGUGGGGAGCAAACAGGAUUAGAUACCCUGGUAGUCCACGCCGUAAACGAUGUCUACUUGGAGGUUGUGGCCUUGAGCCGUGGCUUUCGGAGCUAACGCGUUAAGUAGACCGCCUGGGGAGUACGGUCGCAAGAUUAAAACUCAAAUGAAUUGACGGGGA
RNAcentral lists this ribosomal RNA (540 nucleotides) under Vibrio sp. Its description in RNAcentral is "bacterial SSU rRNA". It matches the Rfam family "Bacterial small subunit ribosomal RNA", at positions 387 to 919 of the family's 1533-position model. Lineage: Bacteria; Pseudomonadati; Pseudomonadota; Gammaproteobacteria; Vibrionales; Vibrionaceae. The record is from RNAcentral.